This 464-nucleotide ribosomal RNA is filed under the name uncultured bacterium. RNAcentral describes it as "partial 16S ribosomal RNA". It matches the Rfam family "Bacterial small subunit ribosomal RNA", at positions 338 to 795 of the family's 1533-position model. The record is from RNAcentral.
CCUACGGGUGGCUGCAGUGGGGAAUCUUCCACAAUGGGCGAAAGCCUGACGGAGCAACGCCGCGUGAUCGAAUGAAGGCCUUAGGGUUGUAAAGAUCUGUUGACAGGGACGCAUAAGCAAUGCAAAUAGUUUUGUGUAUGACGGUACCUGUUGAGAAAGCUCAGGCUAACUACGUGCCAGCAGCCGCGGUAAUACGUAGGGAGCAAGCGUUGUCCGGAUGUACGGGGCGGAAAGGGCGAGUAGGUGGGCGCCUAAGUCAGGUGUGAAAACUCCGGGCUCAACCUGGAGACUGCACUUGAAACUGGGUGUCUUGAGGGCAGUAGAGGAAAGUGGAAUUCCUAGUGUAGCGGUGAAAUGCGUAGAUAUUAGGAGGAACACCAGUGGCGAAGGCGACUUUCUGGACUGUACCUGACGCUGAGGCGCGAAAGCGUGGGUAGCGAACGGGAUUAGAUACCCCUGUAGUC